Molecule: long non-coding RNA, 257 nt
Organism: Haliotis rufescens (red abalone)
Lineage: Eukaryota; Metazoa; Mollusca; Gastropoda; Lepetellida; Haliotidae
Exons: 3
Source: RefSeq, a predicted model, not a curated record
CUCACUUUCAAUGCAAAUGGCGGCAAGUUGCAUCGGACGCAGACAUGUCGUCUCCCAAGAAUGUUGGAUUGUUUCAUGUGUGAACCAUUGACUUGCCUUUGCAUGUGUUUGUGAUGAAUGCCACCGGUGAUGCAGGUUACGCUCACCAUUUUGCAAACACCUGAUAACAUCGGUAGAUGGUUGUGCCAACAAGAAAACCUGUAUUGAAGUCAUGAGUCUAAAAACGAUGUGGAUUUAAAAACCCAAAUAAAUUCAUA